RNAcentral lists this ribosomal RNA (421 nucleotides) under uncultured Lactobacillus sp. Its description in RNAcentral is "bacterial SSU rRNA". It matches the Rfam family "Bacterial small subunit ribosomal RNA", at positions 127 to 524 of the family's 1533-position model. Lineage: Bacteria; Bacillati; Bacillota; Bacilli; Lactobacillales; Lactobacillaceae. The record is from RNAcentral.
UGCCCCAUAGUCUGGGGAUACCACUUGGGAAACAGGUGCUAAUACCCGGGAUAAGAAAGCAGAUCGCAUGAUCAGCUUUUAAAGGCGGGCGUAAAGCUGUCGCUAUGGGGAUGGGCCCCCGCGGUGCAUUAGCUAGUUGGUAAGUAAGGCUUUACCAAGGGCGAUGAUGCAUAGCCCGAGUUGAGAGACUGAUCGGCCACAUUGGGACUGAGACACGGCCAAAACUCCUACGGGGAGGCAGCAGUAGGAAUCUUCCAACAAUGGACGCAAGUCUGAUGGAGCAACGCCGCGUGAGUGAAGAAGGUUUUCGGAUCGUAAAAGCUCUGUUGUUGGUGAAGAAGGAUAGAGGUAGUAACUGGCCUUUAUUUGACGGUAAUCAACCAGAAGUCACGGCUAACUACGUGCCAGCAGCCGCGGUAAU